RNAcentral lists this ribosomal RNA (1510 nucleotides) under Mesoplasma entomophilum. RNAcentral describes it as "16S ribosomal RNA". It matches the Rfam family "Bacterial small subunit ribosomal RNA". The record is from RNAcentral. Lineage: Bacteria; Bacillati; Mycoplasmatota; Mollicutes; Entomoplasmatales; Entomoplasmataceae.
AUCCUGGCUCAGGAYGAACGCUGGCGGCAUGCCUAAUACAUGCAAGUCGAACGGAGGUGCUUGCACCUCAGUGGCGAACGGGUGAGUAACACGUAUCUAAUCUACCUUCUAGCGGGGGAUAACUUUUGGAAACGAAAGGUAAUACCGCAUGUGGAUGUUAUUAUCGCAUGAGAAAACAUUCAAAGAUCCGUUUGGAUCACUAGAAGAUGAGGAUGCGGCGUAUUAGCUAGUAGGCGGGGUAAAGGCCCACCUAGGCGAUGAUACGUAGCCGAACUGAGAGGUUGAUCGGCCACAUUGGGACUGAGAUACGGCCCAGACUCCUACGGGAGGCAGCAGUAGGGAAUUUUUCACAAUGGACGAAAGUCUGAUGAAGCAAUGCCGCGUGAGUGAUGACGGCCUUCGGGUUGUAAAGCUCUGUUGUAAGGGAAGAAAACAUAGGAGAGGAAAUGCUCUUAUCUUGACGGUACCUUACCAGAAAGCCACGGCUAACUAUGUGCCAGCAGCCGCGGUAAUACAUAGGUGGCAAGCGUUAUCCGGAUUUAUUGGGCGUAUAGGGUGCGUAGGCGGUUUCGCAAGUUUGAGGUUAAAGCCCGGAGCUCAACUCCGGUUCGCCUUGAAAACUGCGGGACUAGAAUAUCAGAGAGGUAAGCGGAAUUCCAUGUGUAGCGGUAAAAUGCGUAGAUAUAUGGAAGAACACCAGUGGCGAAAGCGGCUUACUGGCUGAUUAUUGACGCUGAGGCACGAAAGCGUGGGGAGCAAAUAGGAUUAGAUACCCUAGUAGUCCACGCCGUAAACGUUGAGUACUAAGUAUUGGGGAUUACCUCAGUGCUGCAGCUAACGCAUUAAGUACUCCGCCUGAGUAGUAUGCUCGCAAGAGUGAAACUCAAAGGAAUUGACGGGGACCCGCACAAGUGGUGGAGCAUGUGGUUUAAUUCGAAGCAACACGAAGAACCUUACCAGGGCUUGACAUACAGUGCAAAGCUACAGAGAUGUAGUGGAGGUUAACAUUGAUACAGGUGGUGCAUGGUUGUCGUCAGUUCGUGCCGUGAGGUGUUGGGUUAAGUCCCGCAACGAACGCAACCCUUGUCGUUAGUUACUAACAUUAAGUUGAGGACUCUAACGAGACUGCUAGUGUAAGCUAGAGGAAGGUGGGGAUGACGUCAAAUCAUCAUGCCCCUUAUGUCCUGGGCUACACACGUGCUACAAUGGCCGAUACAAAGAGUCGCAAUCUCGCGAGGGGGAGCUAAUCUCAAAAAGUCGGUCUCAGUUCGGAUUGAAGUCUGCAACUCGACUUCAUGAAGCCGGAAUCACUAGUAAUCGCGAAUCAGCUAUGUCGCGGUGAAUACGUUCUCGGGUCUUGUACACACCGCCCGUCAAACCACGAGAGUUGGUAAUACCAGAAGUACGUUUCCUAACCGUAAGGAAGGCGCGUCCCAAGGUAGGACUAGCGAUUGGGGUUAAGUCGUAACAAGGUAUCCGUACGGGAACGUGCGGAUGGAUCACCUCCUUU